Molecule: long non-coding RNA, 844 nt
Organism: Felis catus (domestic cat)
Lineage: Eukaryota; Metazoa; Chordata; Mammalia; Carnivora; Felidae
Exons: 2
Source: RefSeq, a predicted model, not a curated record
GGUCCUGCCAACAAGAUCCGCCGGAACGCGUGGUUCUUUCUCUAAUGCUCGAUGGAUUUAUUAUUUAAUAGCAGAGGGACGUACGGCUGUUGUUUUAAUCGCAGGGUUUUAUUAGAAACAAGCCUUUCCAUUGCUCCUUGUAGAGCCGGUUGCAAUCAUGAACCACGGCUCUUUUAGGAUGGCAUGCGUGUGUCCCUCUUUUGGAUUUUCGGGGACAAGCCACACCCAAUUCCAGGCUCUGCUCAGGAUGCUGUGUCCCGAGUGAUAUGCAGGCUCUUCCGGUGUGUGGGGUUUUUGUUUCUCAGUAUUCACUAGAGUAACCCUCUGGGACGGGCGCUGUGCCCACUUUACAGAUGUGUUCUCCCCGAGGAUGCUAACGUGUGGGACAGUAUUUGAUCAGCAGCAGGGCUCCCAGGGAAGUUAACCUCCCUGCCAGGGACUUGGGCCUACAGCCAUAGUCUCCCUCCUCGUUCCUGUUUCCUGUUGGGGGACACUGGCCCUGUCCCAUCUGCUCACCUCUCCGCCUGAAACGCUGCCUGAGCACAGGUGUCUCUCAUAAGUGGAAUCAUACAAUUGUUGCCCUUCUGUGGCGGCCUUAUUUCGCUCAGCACGGUGACCUCCAGUUUCGUCCAUGCUGUAGCAGGUGUCGGAAUUUCCUUCCUCUUUAAGCUUGAGUAAUAUUCCAUCGUGCGGAUACACUACAUCUCAUUAUCCAUUCAUCGGCCAACGGGCACCUGGCGAAAGGGAACCCCUGCGCACUUUCAGGAGGACGUAAGCUGGUGUAGCCACGGUGGAAAACGAUACGGAGGCUCCUCGGAAAAUAAAAAACGGGAUUUCCAGAUGA